This 312-nucleotide ribosomal RNA is filed under the name uncultured Planctomycetota bacterium. RNAcentral's name for it is "bacterial SSU rRNA". It matches the Rfam family "Bacterial small subunit ribosomal RNA", at positions 29 to 351 of the family's 1533-position model. Lineage: Bacteria; Pseudomonadati; Planctomycetota. The record is from RNAcentral.
AAUGAACGUUGGCGGCGUGGAUUAGGCAUGCAAGUCGUGCGAGAAGUCUUUUGCUUGCAUUAGACGGAAAGCGGCGAAAGGGAGAGUAACGCGUGGAUACCUACCUCCAGGUUCGGGAUAGCUGCGGGAAACUGCGGGUAAUACCGAAUGACAUCUCCGGAUCAAAGGUGUGAUUCCGCCUGGAGACGGGUCCGCGUCCUACUAGCUUGUUGGUGAGGUAACGGCUCACCAAGGCGACGAUGGGUAUCAGGCGUGAGAGCGUGACCUGACUCACUGGGACUGAGACACUGCCCAGACACCUACGGGUGGCAG